AUGAACGCUGGCGGCGUGCCUAAUACAUGCAAGUCGAGCGAACAGAUGAGGAGCUUGCUCCUCUGACGUUAGCGGCGGACGGGUGAGUAACACGUGGAUAACCUACCUAUAAGACUGGGAUAACUUCGGGAAACCGGAGCUAAUACCGGAUAAUAUAUUGAACCGCAUGGUUCAAUAGUGAAAGACGGUUUUGCUGUCACUUAUAGAUGGAUCCGCGCCGCAUUAGCUAGUUGGUAAGGUAACGGCUUACCAAGGCAACGAUGCGUAGCCGACCUGAGAGGGUGAUCGGCCACACUGGAACUGAGACACGGUCCAGACUCCUACGGGAGGCAGCAGUAGGGAAUCUUCCGCAAUGGGCGAAAGCCUGACGGAGCAACGCCGCGUGAGUGAUGAAGGUCUUCGGAUCGUAAAACUCUGUUAUUAGGGAAGAACAAAUGUGUAAGUAACUAUGCACGUCUUGAUGGUACCUAAUCAGAAAGCCACGGCUAACUACGUG
RNAcentral lists this ribosomal RNA (496 nucleotides) under uncultured bacterium. RNAcentral describes it as "partial 16S ribosomal RNA". It matches the Rfam family "Bacterial small subunit ribosomal RNA", at positions 29 to 507 of the family's 1533-position model. The record is from RNAcentral.